Molecule: transfer RNA, 78 nt
Filed under: Candidatus Bathycorpusculum termitum
Lineage: Archaea; Thermoproteati; Candidatus Bathyarchaeota; Bathyarchaeia (SeqCode); Bathyarchaeales (SeqCode); Candidatus Bathycorpusculaceae
Description: tRNA-Pro
Rfam family: tRNA
About the family: Transfer RNA (tRNA) molecules are approximately 80 nucleotides in length. Their secondary structure includes four short double-helical elements and three loops (D, anti-codon, and T loops). Further hydrogen bonds mediate the characteristic L-shaped molecular structure. tRNAs have two regions of fundamental functional importance: the anti-codon, which is responsible for specific mRNA codon recognition, and the 3' end, to which the tRNAs corresponding amino acid is attached (by aminoacyl-tRNA synthetases). tRNAs cope with the degeneracy of the genetic code in two manners: having more than one tRNA (with a specific anti-codon) for a particular amino acid; and 'wobble' base-pairing, i.e. permitting non-standard base-pairing at the 3rd anti-codon position.
Source: RNAcentral
GGGGCUUUCGGCUAGCUUGGUCUAGGCUUGUAGCCUCGGGCGCUACAGACCCCGGUUCAAAUCCGGGAAGCCUCACCA